Long non-coding RNA from Colossoma macropomum (tambaqui), 211 nucleotides. RefSeq lists it as uncharacterized. The record is from RefSeq and is a predicted model, not a curated record. The transcript has 3 exons. Lineage: Eukaryota; Metazoa; Chordata; Actinopteri; Characiformes; Serrasalmidae.
UGAAGGAUGGCUGCACACAAGAAGCACCGAUGUAAGAUACUCUCAGUUGCAGGAGGAGAAGAUAAAAUGAGACGGAGGAGGGUGAAACCACUUGAUGAAGCAGUACAACAUGUCACCAGUGCAACUGACAAGACUGAUGUAUUGGAGAGUAAAUUAAUAAACCCUUAUAAAGGUCAUGGUGUAUUUGCCCUGGCUUCUUUGAAUAAGGAGA